GUUGGUUACGGGGAUAUGCGUCCGGUUACCGUUUGGGGCAAAUUGAUCGGAUCGUUGUGUGCAAUUGCCGGAGUGUUGACGAUUGCCUUGCCAGUGCCUGUGAUCGUGUCUAAU
This is a non-coding RNA of Echinostoma caproni, 114 nucleotides long. Lineage: Eukaryota; Metazoa; Platyhelminthes; Trematoda; Plagiorchiida; Echinostomatidae. The record is from Rfam.